GUCCCCGUAGUUCAAUGGAUAGAACAGACCCGUCCUAAGGGUCUAAUGGAGGUUCGAUUCCUCUCGGGGAUA
This 72-nucleotide transfer RNA is filed under the name Patescibacteria group bacterium. RNAcentral's name for it is "tRNA-Arg". It matches the Rfam family "tRNA". From Rfam's summary of the family: Transfer RNA (tRNA) molecules are approximately 80 nucleotides in length. Their secondary structure includes four short double-helical elements and three loops (D, anti-codon, and T loops). Further hydrogen bonds mediate the characteristic L-shaped molecular structure. tRNAs have two regions of fundamental functional importance: the anti-codon, which is responsible for specific mRNA codon recognition, and the 3' end, to which the tRNAs corresponding amino acid is attached (by aminoacyl-tRNA synthetases). tRNAs cope with the degeneracy of the genetic code in two manners: having more than one tRNA (with a specific anti-codon) for a particular amino acid; and 'wobble' base-pairing, i.e. permitting non-standard base-pairing at the 3rd anti-codon position. The record is from RNAcentral.